GUGUGCUUCUUAACAUAAAGUUAUGUCACUAUGCCAAGCUUUUAUAUUGCUACUGUGACUGAGCAACUUGCCUAUAGACAGAGGGGGCUUAAGCAGUGCUGCCUAUUCUGUCGUAAUAUAACCGAAACUGAAGUCCAGCCUGACUGCUGCAGAGAAGUGAACGCCAUUGUGCAGGUAAACGACACCUGAGAAGCCCAGUGUGGAACAUGUAAUAGUGCCUCGCAGGUGAGUCACAUUGUUGAGUUCUUUUAAUGGAUCAUCCAUGAACUCUUUGUGUGUUUAUGGAAACAGGAGCUUCGCUGACAUUUUUAAUAAUUAAUUAGCAGAUUUCAUAGGACAUGACAGGAACAUAUGGUGUUGUUUUGGUUGUGCUCUAGUCACAAGAGACUGAUAAACUUUGAUGGCAUCCACAAACCAAUUCAAAGUAGGUUAUUUCCUGACUUAAAAAGAGGUUUGGUACCACAAAGUCCACCAGCAAUGACACAAUCCCGUUCUGAAAGCGUAAUCUGUUACACAACAAAGUCGUGAUAAGGAACAAAUGUUUGCACAACUGGUUUUGAUUUUGAUUUCUUCCCUCUGGAGUCCCGGGUGCAGUCGCUGAGCUUUGUGGAUCUCCUGUGGAUCUGCAACAGAGGAAACACAACAAUGGUGCCUGGCUGUCCUGGUAAACGAGAGUCCCCAGGUGACUGAUGUAGGAAAUACCAUACCAGGAAACUUCCUUUUGUAUUUUUCACCUGAAAGGAGACACUGUUGGGAGUGUUGGCUACUCUACAUUUUCCAACUCCAAUUUCAAGACUCAAAAUGAAACGUGUCUUUUCUACUUUUACUCUUUUAAAUCUGCCUAACUAUAAACACACUGAAGUGUGAUUUUGAUGUGAGAGUGUUUCCACUUUGUGUGACCUUAUUAUUUUACUGUACUUCAUUUUUUUACUCAGACAGUUGUUGCUAUUAGUUAUUUUAUUGUAUACAGUUUAAAAUAUGUAAGAUGUGCUUUAUUGGUCCCCAUAGGUUUGUAUUAAAUGUAUAUGAAAUCAGUGGAUUUGUGUUUUUCUGUGUUGACCAGUGUGUUAUUUCUGUUUGUUAACAGUAGGCCUGCAGAUAUUAAGAUGUCCUUAAUACGUCAUUAAUAAAGUGUUUUUUUAUCCA
Molecule: long non-coding RNA, 1146 nt
Organism: Dicentrarchus labrax (European seabass)
Lineage: Eukaryota; Metazoa; Chordata; Actinopteri; Moronidae
Exons: 2
Source: RefSeq, a predicted model, not a curated record